UGUUGCGGUUAAAAAGCUCGUAGCUGGAUUUCUGUCGAGGACGGUCGGUCCAUCUUAUGGAUGUGCAUCUGAUACGGCCUCGGCAUCCUCUUGGGGAACGUCGUUGUGCUUUAUUGCGUGACACGGUAUUCAAGACUUUUACUUUGAGGAAAUUAGAGUGUUCACGGCAGGCGUUUGCCUUGAAUAUGUUAGCAUGGAAUAAUAAUAUAGGACCCCGGUCCCAUUUUGUUGGUUUCUGGAGCCAGGGUAAUGAUUAAUAGGGAUAAUUGGGGGCACUCGUAUUAUCACGUCAGAGGUGGAAUUCUUGGAUUGUGAUACGACGAACUACUGCGAAAGCAUUUGCCAAGAAUGUUUUCAUUAAUCAAGAACGAAAGUUAGAGGUUCGAAGGCGAUUAGAUACCGCCCUAGUUCUAACCAUAAACGAUGCCAGCUAGCGAUCUGUCGGCGUUUUAUUUUGACUUGACAGGGAGCUUCCGGGAAACCAAAGCGUGUGGGUUCCAGGGGAAGUAUGGUUGCAAAGCUGAAACUUAAAGGAAUUGACGGAAGGGCACCACCAGGAGUGGAGCCUGUGGCUUAAUUUGACUCAACACGGGAAAUCUCACCAGGCCCGGACACCAGAAGGAUUGACAG
RNAcentral lists this ribosomal RNA (630 nucleotides) under uncultured eukaryote. RNAcentral's name for it is "bacterial SSU rRNA". It matches the Rfam family "Eukaryotic small subunit ribosomal RNA", at positions 611 to 1246 of the family's 1831-position model. The record is from RNAcentral.